RNAcentral lists this ribosomal RNA (471 nucleotides) under uncultured bacterium. Its description in RNAcentral is "bacterial SSU rRNA". It matches the Rfam family "Bacterial small subunit ribosomal RNA", at positions 28 to 507 of the family's 1533-position model. The record is from RNAcentral.
GAUGAACGCUGGCGGCGUGCCUAACACAUGCAAGUCGAACGGACUUACAUUGAAGCCUAGCGAUAUGUAAGUUAGUGGCGGACGGGUGAGUAACGCGUGGGUAACCUGCCUUGUACUGGGGGACAACAGUUGGAAACGACUGCUAAUACCGCAUAAGCGCACAGCUUCGCAUGAAGCAGUGUGAAAAACUCCGGUGGUACAAGAUGGACCCGCGUCUGAUUAGCUGGUUGGUGAGGUAACGGCCCACCAAGGCGACGAUCAGUAGCCGGCCUGAGAGGGUGAACGGCCACAUUGGGACUGAGACACGGCCCAAACUCCUACGGGAGGCAGCAGUGGGGAAUAUUGCACAAUGGGGGAAACCCUGAUGCAGCGACGCCGCGUGAGCGAAGAAGUAUUUCGGUAUGUAAAGCUCUAUCAGCAGGGAAGAAGAAAUGACGGUACCUGACUAAGAAGCAACCGGCUAAAUACGUG